AUGGCCCUUUUUGAGGUGUCUGUUUUCGCAUUUGAGGACAUUUCUCAGCGGCAGAUGGCCUUUGGCCGGCCGCAAGACAGCGAGGGCAUUGACUGGUGGGCUAAGGGUUUGUACAUGGGUUUUGGUGAAUUCCCUUCCAAAACUCCCCCCGCGGACCUCUUCUCACAACAGGAGCUCCACAUCCACUCAAAAUUUGGUGGGGUGUCAUGCCCCUACGCGGAUCCUGCAUACAUUGGCUGCGGAGAAUCCAGGUAUUCGGUGGCUUGCUGCGUAGUCUCCUACUGGAUUGAUACCUUGGUUCUCAAAACUGAGGGAAAUACUUACACUCCUUUGCUGCAUCACCCUUUCCUCUUCAAGGGAAAAAACCAACGCAAGCUCAAGAGGUAG
This 387-nucleotide ribosomal RNA is filed under the name Triticum aestivum (bread wheat). Its description in RNAcentral is "partial small subunit ribosomal RNA". Lineage: Eukaryota; Viridiplantae; Streptophyta; Magnoliopsida; Poales; Poaceae. The record is from RNAcentral.